UUGAUUCAAUAAAGAAAACAAGGCUCGAGACGAGCCUUUGGCGAUCAAUAUUGUUUCGGCGUGUGCGUACAUGAGCUAUUAGCUGGAAUCGAUCUAGUUUCCGCAGUAGUGCAAUUAGUACUAGUACGUCUCUGACAAAGGAAUCGAUCGGAGACUGGUGCUAGCUUUGUACGUGCACAUCUUGCCGCUUGGGGCAGAAACCAAGCUAGUCAGCGUGGCUUCGCUUCGUUGUUGUUCGUCGUCGGUCGUAUCGCCAUCGCCGGAAGUACUCGGCGUCGGGACUGAGCCAACAGAGAAAAUGGAAAUCGUAUAUCAGAAGAAAACUGCUAGAGUAUGGGCUGAAGGGCCUGCACAAAAUACAGAUAUGCAAUAGGCUUGUGUAUUGCGGUGAAUAGGACAUCUUCGGCUCCUUUAUCCAAGGGCGUACCCACGUUCAACCUCAGGGAUGCACAGGACACCAGGUCAUUUUCUCGCUGGGUCCGCCCCUGUAUCGGGUAGCAUUUCAUGCAUUUCCAGCUAGCACUUUUGGCUCCAGAACUUCAACAGUAGCAGGAGCAGAGUCAAAUCCGAUAACAUAUCAAGAUAGCAAGUUAAAACCAACUCUGAGUAUGCACGUGCUGUCCACUCUGCUUCAAAUACCAGCAUUUGCCUUUUCGAGCUCAGAAAACAACAGCUUUGGGUUCAGGUCUCCUGUGCUGGCUCAUCCUUAACUGUGCCUGAUAUAAGUCUGUUCAGAAGUAUCUCAAGCUUCAGUAACCCCUUUGCAGAUAUAUGUUGUCGCAAACAUCGGCUUCAAAUCAAGCUUCACAUUUUGAGGUAAUGGGGUUCCGGUACCAAAUUUUUGCAAUCACCGUGAGAUUUUCGUAGUACUGUGUUUGACUAGUUUACCAAGUAAUUUAUAGGAAAUUAGACCAAAAUACAAGACGGAGUUUACCAUUGCCAACU
Triticum aestivum (bread wheat) is the source of this 945-nucleotide long non-coding RNA. RefSeq lists it as uncharacterized. The record is from RefSeq and is a predicted model, not a curated record. The transcript has 4 exons. NCBI's taxonomy places the organism in Eukaryota, Viridiplantae, Streptophyta, Magnoliopsida, Poales, Poaceae.